RNAcentral lists this ribosomal RNA (565 nucleotides) under uncultured bacterium. RNAcentral's name for it is "partial 16S ribosomal RNA". It matches the Rfam family "Bacterial small subunit ribosomal RNA", at positions 1 to 539 of the family's 1533-position model. The record is from RNAcentral.
GGCCGCACUAGUGAUUAGAGUUUGAUCCUGGCUCAGGAUGAACGCUGGCGGCGUGCCUAAUACAUGCAAGUCGAGCGAACAGAUAAGGAGCUUGCUCCUUUGACGUUAGCGGCGGACGGGUGAGUAACACGUGGGUAACCUACCUAUAAGACUGGAAUAACUCCGGGAAACCGGGGCUAAUGCCGGAUAAUAUUUAGAACCGCAUGGUUCUAAAGUGAAAGAUGGUUUUGCUAUCACUUAUAGAUGGACCCGCGCCGUAUUAGCUAGUUGGUGGGGUAAUGGCUUACCAAGGCAACGAUACGUAGCCGACCUGAGAGGGUGAUCGGCCACACUGGAACUGAGACACGGUCCAGACUCCUACGGGAGGCAGCAGUAGGGAAUCUUCCGCAAUGGGCGAAAGCCUGACGGAGCAACGCCGCGUGAGUGAUGAAGGUCUUCGGAUCGUAAAACUCUGUUAUUAGGGAAGAACAAAUGUGUAAGUAACUGUGCACGUCUUGACGGUACCUAAUCAGAAAGCCACGGCUAACUACGUGCCAGCAGCCGCGGUAAUACGUAGGUGGCAAGC